Molecule: ribosomal RNA, 206 nt
Filed under: uncultured Lactobacillus sp.
Lineage: Bacteria; Bacillati; Bacillota; Bacilli; Lactobacillales; Lactobacillaceae
Description: partial 16S ribosomal RNA
Rfam family: Bacterial small subunit ribosomal RNA
Source: RNAcentral
UGCUAAUACCGGAUAACAACAGAUGAUGCCUAUCAACUGUUUAAAAGAAUGGUUCUGCUAUCACUCUUGGAUGGACCUGCGGUGCAUUAGCUAGUUGGUAGGGUAACGGCCUACCAAGGCGAUGAUGCAUAGCCGAGUUGAGAGACUGAUCGGCCACAUUGGGACUGAGACACCGGACCCAAACUCCGUACGGGGAGGCAGCAGUU